RNAcentral lists this ribosomal RNA (372 nucleotides) under uncultured bacterium. RNAcentral describes it as "bacterial SSU rRNA". It matches the Rfam family "Bacterial small subunit ribosomal RNA", at positions 524 to 898 of the family's 1533-position model. The record is from RNAcentral.
UACGGAGGGUGCAAGCGUUAUCCGGAUUUAUUGGGUUUAAAGGGUGCGUAGGCGGUAUUUUAAGUCAGUGGUGAAAUGUUACAGCUUAACUGUAGAAUUGCCAUUGAAACUGAAGUACUUGAGUUAUCUUGAGGUAGGCGGAAUGUGUAGUGUAGCGGUGAAAUGCUUAGAUAUUACACAGAACACCGAUUGCGAAGGCAGCUUACUAAGGAUAUACUGACGCUGAGGCACGAAAGCGUGGGGAUCAAACAGGAUUAGAUACCCUGGUAGUCCACGCCGUAAACGAUGAUGACUCGCUGUUGGCGAUACACAGUCAGCGGCUUAGCGAAAGCGUUAAGUCAUCCACCUGGGGAGUACGCUCGCAAGAGUGAA